UACGAAGGGGGCUAGCGUUGCUCGGAAUGACUGGGCGUAAAGGGCGCGUAGGCGGCUUGCACCGUCAGAUGUGAAAUUCCUGGGCUUAACCUGGGGGCUGCGCUUGAGACGUAGGGUCUAGAGUUCGGAAGAGGGUCGUGGAAUUCCCAGUGUAGAGGUGAAAUUCGUAGAUAUUGGGAAGAACACCGGUGGCGAAGGCGGCGACCUGGUCCUGGACUGACGCUGAGGCGCGAAAGCGUGGGGAGCAAACAGG
This 253-nucleotide ribosomal RNA is filed under the name uncultured bacterium. Its description in RNAcentral is "partial 16S ribosomal RNA". It matches the Rfam family "Bacterial small subunit ribosomal RNA", at positions 524 to 776 of the family's 1533-position model. The record is from RNAcentral.